Lotus japonicus is the source of this 655-nucleotide long non-coding RNA. RefSeq lists it as uncharacterized. The transcript is spliced from 2 exons. The record is from RefSeq and is a predicted model, not a curated record. Lineage: Eukaryota; Viridiplantae; Streptophyta; Magnoliopsida; Fabales; Fabaceae.
CCCAUGCUGAUGCUGGCAAUCCGUGGCGUGCGUAACGGAGUAACUGCGCCCAUUGGAUUUAGGCAAUCUGAUGGUCCAGAAAAAAUGAUCAUUGGGAGGGAAAGAAAAUUGGAGAGAAGUUUGCGUGUGACAGAGAAAAUUGACUUGAGAGUUGAGAGGCUAUAUGAACCCACCUUACUGGCACACGGAACUAGCACAAAGUGAACAGAAUUGUAAACUCUUCUCCAGCAAAGUAGUACUGAAUACUGAUUCAUUCAACUCUCCAUCCAUUUCCUCACAUAGCCAGAGACAUCAACAAACAGCUUGUUGGGUGUUGUGAGGACUUACUUGGUUUAAGCUCUCUUGAUCUCUUGCUCAAGGAUGAUGUUUGUUUCUUCUGCACCUAUUAAUUCUUCAACGACUGUGAUUUCCUUGGUCAAUUUCACCAAUGAGGCUUUUAUUUUCAGUACUGUCUUGGUUGUAGCAGAUUUUUCACCAGUGGAUUAUCUGAGUUGUUCCAAGACAUGUAGAUUUUAAUUUGGUGUUACAAAUUUAGAUUUUGGCUUGAAAGAUGUGCUCAAAAUUGUACAUUACAGACAAGCCUGUCACUGGAAUCGAUGAUGACCUGACAUUGUGGUCCAACUAAAAUUUUGAAUAAAAUUUGACAUUUAUAAAA